AUGCGGCGGGCGAGCUGGAUGUCCUUGGGCAUGAUGGUGACGCGCUUGGCGUGGAUGGCGCACAGGUUGGUGUCCUCGAAGAGUCCCACCAGGUACGCCUCGGCCGCCUCCUGGAGGGCCAGCACGGCGUGGCUCUGGAAGCGGAGGUCGGUCUUGAAGUCCUGGGCGAUCUCCCUCACCAGGCGCUGGAAGGGCAGCUUGCGGAUCAGCAGCUCCGUGCUCUUCUGGUACUUGCGGAUCUCCCGGAGGGCGACGGUCCCGGGCCUGUAG
RNAcentral lists this ribosomal RNA (270 nucleotides) under Triticum aestivum (bread wheat). Its description in RNAcentral is "partial small subunit ribosomal RNA". The record is from RNAcentral. Lineage: Eukaryota; Viridiplantae; Streptophyta; Magnoliopsida; Poales; Poaceae.